GAAGAGAGUCGUAUAGCGGCCCAAUACGCCACCCGAACGUUACGACUAGUACGGAGAACACGCAGGUUCGAAUCCUGCCUCUCUUCA
Molecule: transfer RNA, 87 nt
Filed under: Salmonella enterica
Lineage: Bacteria; Pseudomonadati; Pseudomonadota; Gammaproteobacteria; Enterobacterales; Enterobacteriaceae
Description: tRNA-OTHER
Rfam family: tRNA
About the family: Transfer RNA (tRNA) molecules are approximately 80 nucleotides in length. Their secondary structure includes four short double-helical elements and three loops (D, anti-codon, and T loops).
Source: RNAcentral